CCUACGGGUGGCAGCAGUGGGGAAUAUUGCACAAUGGGGGCAACCCUGAUGCAGCCACGCCGCGUGAGUGAAGAAGUCUUUCGGUAUGUAAAGUACUGUCAGCGGGGAGGAAAAUGAUGGUAUUUGACCCAGAAGCCACGGCUAACUACGUGCCAGCAGCCGCGGGAAUACGUCGUGGGAAAGCGUUAUUCGGAUUUACUGGGUGAAACGGGAGCGUAGACGGCUGGGCAAGUCUGAAGUGAAAGGCGGGGGCUCAACCACCGGACUGCUCUGGAAACUGACAGGCUGGAGUGCAGGAGAGGUAAGUAGAAUUCCAAGGGUAGCGGUGAAAUGCGUAGAGAUUAGGAGGAACACCAGUGGCGAAGGCGGCCUACUGGACUGUGACUGACGUUGAGGCGCGAAAGCGUGGGGAGCAAACAGGAUUAGAUACCCCUGUAGUC
Molecule: ribosomal RNA, 440 nt
Filed under: uncultured bacterium
Lineage: Bacteria
Description: partial 16S ribosomal RNA
Rfam family: Bacterial small subunit ribosomal RNA
Source: RNAcentral